Molecule: ribosomal RNA, 433 nt
Filed under: uncultured bacterium
Lineage: Bacteria
Description: partial 16S ribosomal RNA
Rfam family: Bacterial small subunit ribosomal RNA
Source: RNAcentral
AGCGAACGCUGGCGGCAGGCCUAACACAUGCAAGUCGAACGAACUCUUCGGAGUUAGUGGCGGACGGGUGAGUAACACGUGGGAACGUGCCUUUAGGUUCGGAAUAACUCAGGGAAACUUGUGCUAAUACCGAAUGUGCCCUUCGGGGGAAAGAUUUAUCGCCUUUAGAGCGGCCCGCGUCUGAUUAGCUAGUUGUUGAGGUAAAGGCUCACCAAGGCGACGAUCAGUAGCUGGUCUGAGAGGAUGAUCAGCCACAUUGGGACUGAGACACGGCCCAAACUCCUACGGGAGGCAGCAGUAGGGAAUCUUGCGCAAUGGGCGAAAGCCUGACGCAGCCAUGCCGCGUGAAUGAUGAAGGUCUUAGGAUUGUAAAAUUCUUUCACCGGGGACGAUAAUGACGGUACCCGGAGAAGAAGCCCCGGCUAACUUCGUG